This is a long non-coding RNA of Anguilla rostrata (American eel), 1199 nucleotides long. RefSeq lists it as uncharacterized. The transcript is spliced from 3 exons. Lineage: Eukaryota; Metazoa; Chordata; Actinopteri; Anguilliformes; Anguillidae. The record is from RefSeq and is a predicted model, not a curated record.
UAUCUAAUACAAGUGUGUAUAAUCCAUUUCUUGGUUCAUCAAGAUGGGAAGGUCUUCAGAAAUAUGCUAGUGUUCUUGUUAAAAUUAAAACAAUAUUAUAGCCUACAGUAUUUUGAGCGCGAUAACAAUCAUCGAUAGGCUUUCUUUGUUGGUUUUAUGAAAGCCACUCCGUAGCUCGGCUAUGCAGCUAAUUUGUGUUCGGCAGAAACACGUCACGCGAUCACAUUGAAACCGCAUGGCCGGCAUGCUACUAAUUGUCUGCCAUACAAACACGUACUAGGUGCGAUGUUUUUUCCGGAAGUGUUUCCGUUGGACUGUGGAGUUUGGAGGUUCAGGACUGUGUCAGGUAUAAUUGUAGAAAAAAAGACGAAAAGAAUGUCGGUCAUGAAAACCCUGACUCUAAGAACUGCUUUUGAUGAUUGACCGACUAAUGCCAGCUGACCAAAAGUUACCUCAGUCACCUGCUGCGGUGGAAAAAAAGACCAGGAAGCAGUGGACCUACAGUUUCUUUUUUUAAAAGCUUGAGCCCAAACCUCCACGAGGGUGCGCGUUUAUACAAUGAAGUUCCUGUCAUUGGUUGGCCGAAGGUAACGGCAGCUGUCCUGGACCAGCUGGUGUUUGCGGGAGUGCGGUUUUUUUUGGCUGCUGAAGCGGGGGGGGGGGGUACGUACACGCGCCUGUCCUUUCCCCGUUGCAGGACGAUCUUCUCAGCGCCAAGCUUGGGGAACAAGGGGUUGAUGACGCUGUUGUCCCAGAUGAACUUCAUUUUGGUCACUUCGCCCGCGUCCGUCUCGGUGUCGAUGUACGCUUCGUACGUGUUCCCGGGGUUAAGGAGACCCCUGUGAAGAUUAGAAUGAGAGCGUCAGUCCGUAUCACUGGAUCAAGGGGGGAAAAAUUAGGGUGUAAUGGAAAAAUGACACAACAGUGUACAAGCUGGCUGUAGUCUGUCGACCCUUAUCUGUACACCCAUAAGGUGUAAGUUAAGAAGUUGAGGGUUGGAUGCACGUUAAGUUGGACGAAAUCAUGUUUAGGAGUCACGCGGUGGCUCUUCCCGAAUAGGGACUUUAUCCAAAAUAACAGCGCUUACUUUCUAAUCUGAUAUUGUCUCGUGUUGCCUUGGGUCCCGUAGAUGGCCACGCUCAUUGUCCCAGUCAGGAGAAGCGCUCGGUUGCCCCUGAUUGUGACCGUCACUUUGUAGC